UCAGUCGACUCCUACGGGGAGGCAGCAGUGGGGAAUAGUUGCACAAUGGGGGAAACCCUGAUGCAGCCAUGCCGCGUGUGUGAAGAAGGCCUUCGGGUUGUAAAGCACUUUCAGUAGGGAGGAAGGUAGUGUAGUUAACACCUGCAUUAUUUGACGUUACCUACAGAAGAAGCACCGGCUAACUCCGUGCCAGCAGCCGCGGUAAUACGGAGGGUGCGAGCGUUAAUCGGAAUUACUGGGCGUAAAGCGCAUGCAGGCGGCCUGUUAAGUCAGAUGUGAAAGCCCGGGGCUUAACCUCGGAAUUGCAUUUGAAACUGGCAGGCUAGAGUCUUGUAGAGGGGGGUAGGAAUUUCAGGUGUAGCGGUGAAAUGCGUAGAGAUCUGAAGGAAUACCAGUGGCGAAGGCGGCCCCCUGGACAAAGACUGACGCUCAGAUGCGAAAGCGUGGGGAGCAAACAGGAUUAGAUACCCUGGUAG
This 476-nucleotide ribosomal RNA is filed under the name uncultured bacterium. RNAcentral's name for it is "bacterial SSU rRNA". It matches the Rfam family "Bacterial small subunit ribosomal RNA", at positions 328 to 793 of the family's 1533-position model. The record is from RNAcentral.